RNAcentral lists this transfer RNA (70 nucleotides) under Myiopsitta monachus (monk parakeet). Its description in RNAcentral is "tRNA-Phe". It matches the Rfam family "tRNA". From Rfam's summary of the family: Transfer RNA (tRNA) molecules are approximately 80 nucleotides in length. Their secondary structure includes four short double-helical elements and three loops (D, anti-codon, and T loops). Further hydrogen bonds mediate the characteristic L-shaped molecular structure. tRNAs have two regions of fundamental functional importance: the anti-codon, which is responsible for specific mRNA codon recognition, and the 3' end, to which the tRNAs corresponding amino acid is attached (by aminoacyl-tRNA synthetases). tRNAs cope with the degeneracy of the genetic code in two manners: having more than one tRNA (with a specific anti-codon) for a particular amino acid; and 'wobble' base-pairing, i.e. permitting non-standard base-pairing at the 3rd anti-codon position. Lineage: Eukaryota; Metazoa; Chordata; Aves; Psittaciformes; Psittacidae. The record is from RNAcentral.
GUCCUUGUAGCUUAAAGCCUAAAGCAUGGCACUGAAGAUGCCAAGAUGGGUUCCAACCUUCCCCAUGGAC